RNAcentral lists this transfer RNA (62 nucleotides) under Megalotomus costalis. RNAcentral's name for it is "tRNA-Gly". The record is from RNAcentral. Lineage: Eukaryota; Metazoa; Arthropoda; Insecta; Hemiptera; Alydidae.
ACUUUUUUAGUAUAAAAAUUAUAUUUGACUUCCAAUCAAAAGAUCUUGUUAAAGAAAAAGUA